AUUGAACGCUGGCGGCAUGCCUUACACAUGCAAGUCGAACGGCAGCGGACCUUCGGGUGCCGGCGAGUGGCGAACGGGUGAGUAAUAUAUCGGAACGUACCUUUCAGUGGGGGAUAACGUAGCGAAAGUUACGCUAAUACCGCAUAUUCUGUGAGCAGGAAAGCAGGGGAUCGCAAGACCUUGCGCUGAUUGAGCGGCCGAUAUCAGAUUAGGUUGUUGGUGAGGUAAAGGCUCACCAAGCCGACGAUCUGUAGCUGGUCUGAGAGGACGACCAGCCACACUGGGACUGAGACACGGCCCAGACUCCUACGGGAGGCAGCAGUGGGGAAUUUUGGACAAUGGGCGCAAGCCUGAUCCAGCAAUGCCGCGUGCAGGACGAAGGCC
Molecule: ribosomal RNA, 384 nt
Filed under: uncultured bacterium
Lineage: Bacteria
Description: bacterial SSU rRNA
Rfam family: Bacterial small subunit ribosomal RNA
Source: RNAcentral